GACGAACGCUGGCGGCGUGCUUAACACAUGCAAGUCGAACGGAAAGGCCCUGCUUUUGUGGGGUGCUCGAGUGGCGAACGGGUGAGUAACACGUGAGUAACCUGCCCUUGACUUUGGGAUAACUUCAGGAAACUGGGGCUAAUACCGGAUAGGAGCUCCUGCUGCAUGGUGGGGGUUGGAAAGUUUCGGCGGUUGGGGAUGGACACGCGGCUUAUCAGUUUGUUGGUGGGGUAGUGGCUUACCAAGGCUUUGACGGGUAGCCGGCCUGAGAGGGUGACCGGCCACAUUGGGACUGAGAUACGGCCCAGACUCCUACGGGAGGCAGCAGUGGGGAAUAUUGCACAAUGGGCGGAAGCCUGAUGCAGCAACGCCGCGUGCGGGAUGACGGCCUUCGGGUUGUAAACCGCUUUCGCCUGUGACGAAGCGUGAGUGACGGUAAUGGGUAAAGAAGCACCGGCUAACUACGUG
This 468-nucleotide ribosomal RNA is filed under the name uncultured bacterium. RNAcentral's name for it is "partial 16S ribosomal RNA". It matches the Rfam family "Bacterial small subunit ribosomal RNA", at positions 28 to 507 of the family's 1533-position model. The record is from RNAcentral.